This 324-nucleotide ribosomal RNA is filed under the name uncultured bacterium. RNAcentral's name for it is "bacterial SSU rRNA". It matches the Rfam family "Bacterial small subunit ribosomal RNA", at positions 28 to 334 of the family's 1533-position model. The record is from RNAcentral.
GAUGAACGCUGGCGGCGUGCUUAACACAUGCAAGUCGAACGAGAACCAUAUGAUAGAGGAUUCGUCCAAUUGAGUAUGGGGAAAGUGGCGGACGGGUGAGUAACGCGUGAGCAAUCUGCCUUGGAGUGGGGAAUAACGGCUGGAAACAGCCGCUAAUACCGCAUGAUACAGCUGGGUCGCAUGGCUCUGGCUGUCAAAGAUUUAUCGCUCUGAGAUGAGCUCGCGUCUGAUUAGCUAGUUGGCGGGGUAAAGGCCCACCAAGGCGACGAUCAGUAGCCGGACUGAGAGGUUGGCCGGCCACAUUGGGACUGAGACACGGCCCAG